UACGUAGGCAGCGAGCGUUGUUCGGAGUUACUGGGCGUAAAGGGCGCGCAGGCGGUCUGGUAAGUUUGGAGUGACAGUGCUCGGCUUAACUGAGCAAGGCCUUCGAAAACUGCUAGACUUGAGCACUCAAGAGGGACAUAGAAUUCCGGGUGGAGUGGUGAAAUGCGUAGAUAUCCGGAGGAAUACCAAAGGCGAAGGCAGUGUCCUGGGGAGUGUCUGACGCUCAGGCGCGAAAGCUAGGGGAGCGAACAGG
Molecule: ribosomal RNA, 253 nt
Filed under: uncultured bacterium
Lineage: Bacteria
Description: partial 16S ribosomal RNA
Rfam family: Bacterial small subunit ribosomal RNA
Source: RNAcentral